Coffea eugenioides is the source of this 952-nucleotide long non-coding RNA. RefSeq lists it as uncharacterized. The record is from RefSeq and is a predicted model, not a curated record. The transcript is spliced from 4 exons. NCBI's taxonomy places the organism in Eukaryota, Viridiplantae, Streptophyta, Magnoliopsida, Gentianales, Rubiaceae.
GCAAACGAUUCGAGCCGCUCGCGAGCGGCUCGAGUCAAAGCUUGAGUCGAGUUCGGUCAAAUUCGAGCUCGAGUCGAGCUCGAGCGGCUCGUUUAUAAAUCGAGUCGAAUUCGAGCCAUCCUCUAUUAGGCUCGUUAGCUCGUUGAGCCGCUCGACGAGCUUUGUGAAAUUACAAAAAUACCCUUAUUUAUAUAGUUAAUUACUAAGUUAUAACAUGGGAAUUGGGAUGGAAUUCGACUUCGAGUAUCAGACGGAGGCUCGCUCAUAGCAAAAAUUACUUUCCCCAAUUCCAUUUCUUAUUACUUCUCCUCUACCGCAUCUCUGUUUGGUCUUUCCUUCACACCUUCUCAAGCCCUAGCCAUCGCCGUCACCACCCACGAGUGCACCACGCUGACCACAGCCACCACCGCGGCACCGCCACUGCUACCCUUCAGGCCUCAUUCGACUGCAAUUCGACUUCAUUCGAGAGAAACCUUCUUCCUCUCGAAGCAAUUCGACUGCAACUCGCCUUCGUCGUUGGCUCAGCUGUAUUUGGACAGAGGCUUGACUUCCUCCACGGUGCAUCUUAAGGACUGCUAACCAUCUGUCUUACUCCACGGCACAUCUUAAAGCCCUCAAUUUGAUUUCCAAUUUAAGAAAAUGAAGUCAGCACAAGAGAUUUCAUUGCCUAUUCCUUGAACUUUUUCAUGUUUUAGCAGCUGCAGCUUAUUGGUGCAUUAUUGGCUGUAGGUUGGAGCUGGAACUAUGAAUCCUCUGACAUUUCUAAGAAGAGAAGAAGUUCGUGACUUCAAUGACUUCAAUGACUGUGCUUAGUUUGUAAUUUGUAAUUCAAUAAGUUUCUGUAGUAAGAAGUUCUUGGCCUGCUUUUGGUUGUUAUUUACUUAUUUUCUGAUAUUAAAUUUUGUGACCGAGAAUCUUGAACUUGUAUGAAGUGUUGGGCAUUUAAAUUCUA